RNAcentral lists this long non-coding RNA (2202 nucleotides) under Mus musculus (house mouse). Its description in RNAcentral is "predicted gene, 35410 (Gm35410)". Lineage: Eukaryota; Metazoa; Chordata; Mammalia; Rodentia; Muridae. The record is from RNAcentral.
UGUCUGUCAGCGGGGAAGCCGGCAGCGCUCCGUCGCGGGCUCUCCCGGUCGCAGCCCUCGGGAAUCACGUCGGCCAGAGGGAGAAGGGACCGGAAGCGCAACCGGGAGCUUUUCCUUCGUCUCCUCCCCCACGCCUCGGGGGCGGGGAGCAGCUACAGCUGUCACAGGCUCCGGGCAACCAACCGCCGAGGACACUUGCACCCGCGACCUCUCAACCCGGUCUCCGGCGCUUGCACCCUACCCGCGAAGCCGGAAGCGAGCAGACCGGAAGUGCGGGGUCUUAGGCCCCGGACAGCCUCUCUCUAGAAGCCAAGCCCGGGCCCCGCCACGUCUCUAUGGUGCGCGCGCGUCUCCCAGGGGGCUGGGUCCUCCCGACUCCGCCCCGGGCCGCGGCCCUGUGAACUACAUCCGGGAAUCCGCACGGACCGUUGCCGGGGUAACCGGGUUGCAGCGUAGAGGAACAGUCCAUAGUUUGCGAAGUGCAGCCCUCCAGCCAGACAUCCUCUACCCUUUUCCCACACGCGUACUCCGUGUCUGGAGGGUGGAGGUGGCCGUAGCUCACCACCGCGGAGCCGAAAGUUUGUCAACCACCGGAGAGAAGAACGGGAUGCGGAAGGGAUGGAGCGAAGAUGAGUGUACCGGCGCUGGCAGCACGGAAGCCCGGCCCUCGCUUUCUUAGGUUUCUCGCUAGCUCUCCGCGAUCACCGCACUCUUACCAGUCUGUGCACCAAGACCGGCAACCGUGAACGUGCGGUGGUAGCUCUGUUUCUGUGCUUGCUCUCUGACAGUGGGCUCAUAGUACUUUUCUUCGCUGCUCCUCUUUUGCCGGCAACCGAACUCUGCCUUCUUGCUCAUCCCCUCUUAAGUAGAUCGCUGACGCCCCGUCCACAGAAACAGUUCAACUGUCCCUUCUCCCAGAGCUCUUCUUGGUCGUUUCCUACCAGACUUUGGGGGUACCUGCGAGAAUCUUCCCUAUUCCCAGCGGUGUUAGAUAAUGAGUUUAAAUAUCCUUGUACUGUGUCUUCCUCAGUCUGGUUAAUAGUAACACUACAUACAUUUACAUAAUGCACUACACAUAUUUCAAACCUAAAUAACGGUAUUGUCUUAGAUUGCUAGCACAUCAACUCAAACAAAACAUCAACAAAAACAGUGCUGACAUGCCCAAACAUAAAUCUUGUAUAAAGGGCUUUUCUGUUCUGAAAUUGAGCUAUAAAGGGAGUGGUGGGUGGGUACCAAUUCUCUCAAACUGUAAUUAUUCUGCAAUGUAUUGUGAAUUUUCCUACUCAAAACCAUCCUCUUGAGUUGAAACCCAUUAGUCUUCUCCAUUAUUAGAAAGGGGCCCCUGUCUAGUGUAACUCUUGCUCUCGUUCUGUAAGAACUGAAUAAGACUUGUAGCUAAGUGCAAGUGUCAUCAUGUACAGGGCUUCUGAAGGGUGACUUGGAAAACAUGUCUUGCAAUGCCCGGUUGUGUAUGAAUGGUGUGGACAGCUAGUACAUAACAAAACUGGGUGUCUCCUUGAGGAUGCCUGGUGGUGUUUCUUUAAAUUUGGGGAUACUUGGCUUCUUUUAUUAUCUAUUUGUUCUUAAGUUGUAUACUUUCUCUAGGAAUUGCUGAUAGUUUUUAUGAUGGUUCUGAUGGACUUGGAACUAAUGCUAAUUUUCUUUGAUAAAGAUGCUAUUAGUUGUCUAUUUUAAGUAACUGAUCGAUCAGUCCAGUGAGGUUCUGGUAUUCUGCAUGAUUAUCCUUAUCCAUAAUAUUGUGGUGAGCAAGACUAUGAUGGGAUUAAUUUAUUUCUCCCAAGAUUUCUUUUGCCCCAAGAGAAAUGCAAAUGUAGGCCCACCUUUAGAAACACUGAAAUCUGCUUCUGUUGGUGAUGAAGAAUUGCAAAAUACUUCUGUACAUCAUUUGGACUGAAGGAAGCAGAGGCUUGUGUUCUUUGGAUUUGGGGAAAUUUUUCACUCGUGUGUGUGUGUGUGUGUGUGUGUGUGUGUGUGUGUUACUUGAGAUCAAUUUUUUAUACCAAACGUUUAAACCUAUUUCUACUUAAAUGAAAAUUUAUUUUCCUUUCCUUCUUUUUUCUUCCUUCUUUUUUCUUCCUGUCUUCUUUCUCUCCUUUUUUUCUAAUACAAUUUUGUCCCUUUUUGCCCCCAAAGAAUUCUGUCUGUCCAUUCUGCUUAGAAAGAAUAAAAGAUUCCUAUUCC